This 186-nucleotide unclassified non-coding RNA is filed under the name uncultured fungus. RNAcentral describes it as "sequence contains ITS1". Lineage: Eukaryota; Fungi. The record is from RNAcentral.
UUGAAUGAAAUCUAGAGUUGGUUGUCGCUGGCCCCCGGGCAAUGUGCACGCCUUCUCUUUUCAUCCACACACACCUGUGCACUUGUGAGACGCCGGGAGGGAAUUAAUUUCCUUCCCGCGUCUACUAAUCACACAAACUCAUCGUACUUAAAACUGAAUGUAAUUGAUGUAACACAUCAUUUGAAC